GACGAACGCUGGCGGCGUGCUUAACACAUGCAAGUCGAGCGGUAAGGCCCUUUCGGGGUACGACGAGCGGCGAACGGGUGAGUAACACGUGGGUGACCUGCCCUUAGCUCUGGGAUAAGCCUGGGAAACUGGGUCUAAUACCGGAUAUGACUCCAUAACGCAUGUUGUGGGGUGGAAAGCCUUGUGCGGCUAGGGAUGGGCCCGCGGCCUAUCAGCUUGUU
This 221-nucleotide ribosomal RNA is filed under the name uncultured bacterium. RNAcentral's name for it is "partial 16S ribosomal RNA". It matches the Rfam family "Bacterial small subunit ribosomal RNA", at positions 28 to 250 of the family's 1533-position model. The record is from RNAcentral.